Molecule: unclassified non-coding RNA, 323 nt
Filed under: uncultured Tomentella
Lineage: Eukaryota; Fungi; Basidiomycota; Agaricomycetes; Thelephorales; Thelephoraceae
Description: partial contains 5.8S ribosomal RNA, internal transcribed spacer 2, and large subunit ribosomal RNA
Source: RNAcentral
AACGCAUCUUGCGCUCUGUGGUUAUUCCGCAGAGCAUGCUUGUUUGAGUAUCACGAACUCUCUCAACCCCGCCAUCUUUAACUAGAAGGUAGUUUGGGCUAUUGGAUCAUGACGGUUGUUGUUGAAACAUUACAACUCUGUUGAAAUAUAAGAAGCUGGAUCUUUCAUAUUUGCGGCUUGACCUAUUGUUAUAGAAACUAAAACGUCUCGAUAGGAACGCAAAACAGUUAGAAUGAGCUUACCAUAAAAUGGUUGUCUUUUUAAUUUAAGCAACUCUAGUAACGUUCGAUCUCAAAUCAAGUAGGACUACCCGCUGAACUUAA